RNAcentral lists this small RNA (1182 nucleotides) under Drosophila mojavensis. Its description in RNAcentral is "GI26426". Lineage: Eukaryota; Metazoa; Arthropoda; Insecta; Diptera; Drosophilidae. The record is from RNAcentral.
AAACGGGCGGCCGCGCCUUUGCAUUUGACUUUAGCGCGCUUCGCAGUCGGCGACGUUGGCGUUUCUCGUUUCGUUUCGUUUUGUUCUUUUGCCUCUCGCAUUAGAACGCGCGCUGCCAUCGUCGCUGCCGGCGUCGCUGCUACAGUGCUUGUCGACGUCGACGUCGACGGUCGUAUUGGGCUUAAGCGAAUUUCAAAUUCGCCUGAACUUUUAUUCAACGUGUUGGUUUCGUCGCGUGAGCAACUCUGAAACUGAAAACAAGAAACAAAAUUCUAUCUAUCUGUACAAAAAACCAAAACAACAACAACAACAAACGAAGAACAAACAUUUAUUAAGAGUCCCCGAAAAUAAAAACAUUGAAUAUACCAAUACCAGCAACUCUACCCGUAACCGUAUCUGUUAAUCGUUAACCGUUAACCGUUAACCGUUCGUUAACCGCAAUCGUAACCAUAACCGUAACCGUGUAGCCGUAACCGUAAUCGUAGUCUUAGUUUGAUAUCCCAUUCGCGUCUAUAUCGUGUGUUCCGUAGCUGUUUCGAAAAUAUAUAUUUAAUUUUUUUUUUGUCGGAUUCCACUUCCAACAGUUACAGAGAGCUAUAUAUAGAUGCUGUAUCUGUUCAAAUAAGAGAAAAACCGAUUUAUAAGUAUAUAUACCUACAUAUAUUGUUAUAUAUCCGCCUGGAUCGUAUAGAUCGUACAAUAUUUUUUUUGAAGUGUUAUAAACCACCAAGUGCUACCAAAAAUGCCUUACUACAGCGUUACGCUUUAGUGUCACAAGUGCUACUUAUCGUUAAAUGCGAGCGACCAGUGUUGGUUAACAUCACGCAUACACACACGCAUCAACAGACAAUCAACGUUAGCCAACACUCGCAGUUCAGUUCUGCUUCAUCAAUCUCGACCACAAGUUCUACGUCUUCGCCAUCAUCAUCCGGCUCUUCAGCUGCAUUAACAGCCAAACGUUUUUACCUUGCGUGCAUUUUACGAGCGAGCGUGCGCGAUUCGUGUUGGUCGUCGGUUGCUGUCUCGGAUGUCGCUGAUAUUGUGGAUGUGGAUGUGGAAGUCAACUUUUGCCGGUGGCCAAAACAUUCAGCUGAAUACAACGCUGUGAGCAACACACGCUGGAAGCGCCGAUGGAACCGCGUCGCGACGCAGCGGCAACGGCAGCAGCGGUAGCGACAACAA